Schistocerca americana (American grasshopper) is the source of this 5017-nucleotide long non-coding RNA. RefSeq lists it as uncharacterized. The transcript is spliced from 2 exons. NCBI's taxonomy places the organism in Eukaryota, Metazoa, Arthropoda, Insecta, Orthoptera, Acrididae. The record is from RefSeq and is a predicted model, not a curated record.
UGUUAGUGAUGGAAGUAGACGAAUUUCUAAUCUUGUCAACAACAAAGUGAAUUCAUGUUCUGAUGUGGAAUUUUAAUGUUGGUGUGAUAUAAAAGAAUGGGAUAAAAUAAAAAGACAUUCAUAGCAACAGGAAAAUAUUCAUCAGUUAUUCAGUUCAACAAGAACCUGCAAUGUUAUAAAAAUUACAGCCUCAAGAAUGUACUCUAGACGCAAGACUUGGAGCUAACAACAACAACGAGAUAAUGAAGAUAAGAAAAAUUUUUUCUUUUGUAUAUCUUACGCCUCUCGAAGCUAUUGAAAACAAUGAACAGACUAAGAGGAAUUUAAUGGUGAUGUGCGGGAGGUUAAGAUUAUUAGUGUGGGCGUCAGCUGUGAUCUGUUGACUGAUAACGACGUUUUGUCUGUUGCAGAAGAAGAAGGGACAAUUAUUUGUGUGUGAAGUUUUUAUGUAAAUGUUCUUUAAUUACUUGAUGAAAGAAGACACUAUAAAUGACCAACAAUGACGAGAUAAUAUCAACAAUGAUGGAGCGGAUGAAUUGAAAGAGGGCUUUACAAUUAUGAUGAAGGUCGCCAGAAAAGAUAACUACAAAGUAUUUGUGAAAUUAAUUUUUUUUCUUUUGUGGACUCGUGAUUUAUAGGGAAAUGAAUAGAGACAAGGGUAGUGAUGAUGCCUAGACAUGUUUUGAUCAAGUAAAAGUGUAGAAAACAAAGAAACAGUGAAAACCGAUACUAUGAAGUUGAUUUUGGCAAAAUUCAGAGCAGUUUAAUGAUCAGUUGACAGAAAUAAAAACCAACAACAAUAGCAAAUUUAAUGCAGUCAGUGAUCAGUUAACGGAAAUAUGAACUGAAAACAAUAAUAAAAUGGACAAGUAAAAUACCAAAUAGAACAACUUAGUAAUCAGGUUUCAGAACUAAAAGAUGGGUUGCCAGAUGGAUUAAAAAGCGUGAAUGAAAAAUUAAUGUAUUAGAAAAUAAAUUUAUUGUUUUGGAAAAUGAGUGAGUUGCACAGUCUGCAAAUCAGGAGAAGAAUGUUAAUGAUGUCAAAGUUCAACAGAAGGUCGUAGAGAAAAAAAUGGAACAGAACUUCAGUAGUUUAGAUCAAAAAAUUUUAAAUGUUGAAAACAGCAUGCUAACUAAUGUAAAUGUUUUAGACCAAAAAUUUUCAGUAGUUAAGGAAAACUGUAUUUACAACAAUCCAUAUUCAAAUAAUGGUACUGUGUGGUCUGACAUUCCAAUCAAAAGUUUUCCAUCAGACAAUUUACACCCAGUGGAUAUUCUACACCAUUGUGGAGAUAGUUUUGUGUUAGGUAUGGUUGAUGACCAUGAGAUUAAAUUUGUUACACGAUGUUUUGAAAUUGAAGCUCUGUAGUGUGUAAAUCUAAAUUUUGAUCUGAAGCUGAACAGGGGAGAAUUAAAAGUGAAUUUUUGAAUGGUCCAAAUUAUAGGAAUGGGGACGGUACACUGAAAGAAUUUUGUAAGAAUCAACUUAAGAAAUUAACACAUCUUGACAAACCAUUUGAUGAAAUGACUUUGAUUAAUAAACUAAAAAGGAGAUUACCAGCGAGCUUGCAGUGGGCUUUAGUACACAGACCUGACAAUUGCCUUGAACAGUUUUUACGAUAUGUUGAUAGGCUGGAUAGGACAUUAGAAAGAAGCAUGUACCAUAACAAUCGGAAUGACAGAGAUCACAAUGAUAACAACUACAGAAACAGAGAGUGUGGUAACUUUUAUCAGGGCCAACAUGGUAAUAGAGACAGAAACUUUGAACAUCAGCAGAAUAGGAACAAUGGGGAUAACGAUGGGCAAUAUAACAGGAAAAACAUAGAGGCAACUAUUCAGGAAACGGUGGUCCGCCUCAAUGUAGGUCCACAGUUCUGUGGCAAGGAAACACAACAAGUACAGGACCCCCAAUUUACACUUGCAAUUAGGCAAUAAUAACAGUGUUAACAAUGUGGCACAGGUACCUGAAGCUGAACAGAAGGAACAUCAGAUUUCUCAUUUGUGUUUUGAUAAAAAGUUUUGGGAUACUACGUUUAAUUAUAGUGAUGUAGGUGCUAAUCACAAACAAGAAUGUGAGAGUAAUGAGAAUUUUGAUAUAUUGUGUACUAAUGAUUUCUUCUCUUGGUCAGAAACACUGGUAUCGAUGUAUGUAAAACAGGUGAUGACUGUAUUGGAUCUGAAUUAGGUGGUAUUUUUGAUGAUGUGAAUGGGAGCUGUGAAAUGACUGGGGCUGGUAAGUCUGAGACUGUUAGCUUAUUGCAAUUGAAUGUAGGUGAGUUGUGUGAUUUUGAUGGAGAUGAAACUUGUGUUAUUAAAGAUGUUGUUGGUGAAACAAUUUUGGAAGAGAAUGAUAAUGAUGAUGAGUAUUAGGUAUUUGUGGAGUUUAAGAAAAAUGAAGUUUCAGAGUUGUUUGUGAAUACAGGUAAGGUAAGGUAAGUGAUGUAUGUGAUGAUGUAAGUGAGAGACAUGGAAUACCAGUCCAGUCAAAGUAGUUUUUCAUUAAUGUCAUACAGUGUAAUCAUCCAAACAGUAAAAGUGAGUUAUCUGUAAGGUUAGAGAAUAAAGGUGAAAACUUUUUGAAAUUUGUUUGGGACCAAAUUGAUGAUAACACACAUAAAUGUGCAUUCUGGAACAAGUUAGCUGUGGUUGAUCAAAAUUUGUAUCUGAAUUGGUUGAAUGAAGUGAAAGAAGAUCUAAGUAGGAAAUGUAAUUUUGACAGUAAUAUAUUUUGUGUUCCUUCUGUAAUAAGUAAUGUUAGCUGUGCUACAGAAUUCAUUCAGUGUAGUCUAUCUUUACUUGACAACAUGUAUGACUUAGUAAUGCUAUGAUACCAGUAAAGUUGAUAAAACCCUGCAAAAACAGUGUAGAUGUAGUAUUUGAUGAAACUGAAAGUGAUCUUUUGCAUGAAGUAUCUAAUAGCAGAGAUGAUCAUUCAGAUUUUGGAUGUCCUUACAUUAAGAUUAAGAUUGAUCAGUGGUAAGGGAAGUUUGAUUGAUACAGGUAGCCCAAUUUGUGACAUAUCUGAACAAUUUAGAGACGAGAUCCAGUAUAGUAUGGAUUUUGUGGAAAUGUCCAAUGCACCUGUAAAAAUAAGAGGAGCUAAUGGCAAGCAAACCAAGUAUGUAAAAUGUCAAGCACUGUUGACAUUUGGUACAGACGACAAGAUAUAUGAACAUGGAUGAAUAAUGAUACCUAGUCUCGAAGAAAAUAUUCAGAUCUGAUAUGAACGCUAGACAGGCAGUCACCUAUCCACUGGAGCAUGUGUUGAGAACUCUAGGGAGGAAACUGAAAGAUGUGGGUGAAUCCAGUCCCCACACUGCUGUAUGGCUGAACCCUGCUGGACCAGUCAACUUGCAAGAGAUCGUAGGUGUUGGGUUGUGCCCUUGAGCAUCUGUCAACUGGAUCUAUGUUGUGACUGAUAUUUGCAAAUUGUUAGCUGAGACUGCUAAAGACAGUGUUAUUCAGCAAAAUGUAUGUAAGGGGAUUGACUUUCCAAUGCAUUAUGCAACUUUAAAUCAGUAUGUAUUUUUUAUCAUUUGUAAAUGAAUCUUUUAAGUCUUUAUGUACAUAGGUUAGGUUGUAUAGACAAUUAGCAAAUAGUGUGUAAGUCAUUUACUAGUAUGGGCAAUAUAACAAGAUGUAUACAUGUUUGCUUUCGUAUACUGAUUUUGGUUCUCAAGGUACUGGAUUGUGUCAUCACUCAAAGCUAUUUAUGACUCUGUUUGCCUGUAUUUAUCCUGAGUGAUGAAACAUUAUAUCUAUUUGGAACUUGAGUUCUUUGCAUAUAAUUGAAGUUAUUGAUAUGAUUAUGAACUUUAUUCAUUGUGUUGUGUUGGAACAUUUUUUGCUGGUUUGUACCCGGUGUGGUUUGGAUUCAUGGGUCGGUGGUCGGCCCCCACAUCGUAAACUCAGGCCCAAUUAUUUUUCCAUUAUUUUGUUCUUUUAUGAGUCAACAUAUCCUUGAAUACUAUGGUUUAUGUGGCUGACUGUUUCCUAUUUAUGAUUGAGUAUAUUCUUCUAGUCUGUACCCAUCGUAAGUUUUUCAAGUCAGCUCACUUGUUGUACACUUAGGCUCUGAAAUUUUUUAUAUUCUCUUUUGAAGAUUUUAAAGGUUUGAUUAUAUAGAUCUUAACUUAAAAAUUAUAAAUUCAAAUAAUUCACAUAGUCUCUGCAAUUAUUUCUACAGUUUAGUGGUGUAAUGUUGUAGUUUUAACCUUGUGUUAUUUGUCUUGUGACAUGUAUGUUCCACAGAUCUGAAUGCCAUAUUCUGAUAUAUGUAUAGAUUAUGAUAUGUAUAGUAGAUAUUUUUCUUAUGUUUUCUGUAAUAUGUUAUGUAUCAGACUCUUCUAUACAUCUAUUUGCUAUCCUGGGCAUCAUUUUGUACACCAUUUGGCAAACCUUAUAGUCUGUCACAAUAUAUUGUAAAAAUUUUGUGAGCGGGAUAUUGUAAUGGAUCACCCUCCUCUAACAUUAUUUUUUUAUGUAGAAAUAAUUGAUACCAUGUAUACUAUUGAGUCUUGUAAAGAUGAACAUUAUAUCAGCUGUCUAACUGAAUGAAGUUCAUACGAUUUUGUAUAUGUUGUGUUAUGUUUUGGGCUAAAUAUGUAAAAAGAAAUUAAUGUGUUACAAUCUGUACAUACUAAUGGUUAAAAUUAAUCUUAUUUUAAAAUUAUUUUUCUUUUAGAAAUAUCUGGCAUACUUAAAAUUCAUAUUAUUAGUUGUACAAUCUAACACAAAUUAUAAAAUUUAUUUCAGGACUAAGUUAUACAGUAAUGUUAUAUCUUGGUGAUGAUUCUUCAUUUGUCAAGAGUGUUGUAAACUCUUUCACUUUGUAAACUCUUUGGAAUAUUGUGAGUACCACAGAAUGUUAGGAGUAGUGGGCAUGCCUCUGAUGGAAGUAGACAAAUUUCUAAUCUUGUCAACAACAAUGUGAAUUCGUGUUCUGAUGUGGAAUUUAUAUUUGGUAUGAUACAAAAGAAUGGGAUAAAAUAAAAAGCUGUUCAUAGCAACAGGCAAA